GUCGUGAGAUGUUGGGUUAAGUCCCGCAACGAGCGCAACCCUUGUCAUUAGUUGCUACAUUCAGUUGGGCACUCUAAUGAGACUGCCGGUGACAAACCGGAGGAAGGUGGGGAUGACGUCAAGUCCUCAUGGCCCUUAUGGGUAGGGCUUCACACGUAAUACAAUGGCGCGUACAGAGGGUUGCCAAGGAGCGAUCUGGAGCCAAUCCCGCAAAGCGCGUCGUAGUCCGGAUUGCAGUCUGCAACUCGACUGCAUGAAGUCGGAAUCGCUAGUAAUCGCGGAUCAGCAUGUCGCGGUGAAUACGUUCCCGGGUCUUGUACACACCGCCCGUCACACCAUGGGAGUGGGUUUCACCAGAAGCCGGUCGCUUAACCGCAAGGAUGGCGCCGACCACGGUGAGAUUCAUGACUGGGGUGAAGUCGUAACAAGGUAGCCGUAUCGGAAGGUGCGGCUGGAUCACCUCCUUUCUAGAGAAAAGCGCUUCCCAGCGCCCACCAUCUAUCGGCUGUUGCCCUCAAGCGCAGCAGCGCAACGAACGACCCGGGCGGGUCUGUAGCUCAGUUGGUUAGAGCACCGUCUUGAUAAGGCGGGGGUCGAUGGUUCGAAUCCAUCCAGACCCACCAACCAACGCGUCCCGCGCAUCCGGAGGACAAUAAGCACGCGCGGGGCCAUAGCUCAGCUGGGAGAGCGCCUGCUUUGCAAGCAGGAGGUCACCGGUUCGAUCCCGGUUGGCUCCACCAGCAUCACACAGAGGAAACAGCAAUCAACGCCGCACGCGGCGUUGAUUGGUGCUUCUUCGAAGCCGGGGGUAGCCCCCUCGGGGACGGAGUCGAACACCGUCGGCUGCUCUUUAACAAUCUGGGAUAGAAGGUAGUUGUCUUUUCGAAAGGGCGUUGUGAUGACGCUUGAGUAGGAAGGACACUGGGUUAUGUAUUGCAUCGUGUCCUCACUCGUUCAUGGGUGAGGUGCACAAACUUAAGCGUGAGAGUUAAACCUAUGGCGUUGUGAUGGCGUGGGCGACUUUGGCCUGCGUCGCUUCUGCUUCUAAAAGGCGGAGGCAGCAAGGUUAUAGGGUCAAGCGAAUAAGUGCAUGUGGUGGAUGCCUUGGCAAUGAUAGGCGACGAAGGACGUGACAGCCUGCGAUAAGCUGCGGGGAGCCGGCAAAUGGGCUUUGAUCCGCGGAUUU
RNAcentral lists this small RNA (1186 nucleotides) under uncultured beta proteobacterium. RNAcentral describes it as "bacterial SSU rRNA". The stretch from base 1 to 467 matches the Rfam family "Bacterial small subunit ribosomal RNA", at positions 1064 to 1533 of the family's 1533-position model. The record is from RNAcentral. Lineage: Bacteria; Pseudomonadati; Pseudomonadota; Betaproteobacteria.